GACGAACGCUGGCGGCGUGCUUAACACAUGCAAGUCGAACGGAAAGGCCCUGCUUUUGUGGGGUGCUCGAGUGGCGAACGGGUGAGUAACACGUGAGUAACCUGCCCUUGACUUUGGGAUAACUUCAGGAAACUGGGGCUAAUACCGGAUAGGAGCUCCUGCUGCAUGGUGGGGGUUGGAAAGUUUCGGCGGUUGGGGAUGGACUCGCGGCUUAUCAGCUUGUUGGUGGGGUAGUGGCUUACCAAGGCUUUGACGGGUAGCCGGCCUGAGAGGGUGACCGCCCACAUUGGGACUGAGAUACGGCCCAGACUCCUACGGGAGGCAGCAGUGGGGAAUAUUGCACAAUGGGCGGAAGCCUGAUGCAGCAACGCCGCGUGCGGGAUGACGGCCUUCGGGUUGUAAACCGCUUUCGCCUGUGACGAAGCGUGAGUGACGGUAAUGGGUAAAGAAGCACCGGCUAACUACGUG
Molecule: ribosomal RNA, 468 nt
Filed under: uncultured bacterium
Lineage: Bacteria
Description: partial 16S ribosomal RNA
Rfam family: Bacterial small subunit ribosomal RNA
Source: RNAcentral